Salvelinus sp. IW2-2015 is the source of this 303-nucleotide long non-coding RNA. RefSeq lists it as uncharacterized. The record is from RefSeq and is a predicted model, not a curated record. Lineage: Eukaryota; Metazoa; Chordata; Actinopteri; Salmoniformes; Salmonidae.
CGCCCUGUCUGGGCGUGUGCGACGUUGUUGUCACUCCACUUGGCGCUCAGACGGAGGGUUAGCUAACGCGAAACAUCAAGUGGUGUAUGUAUAGGUGUUUCUGUGGACGGUAGURUAUCUGCUGCAGCAUGGAUUCUGUGCCAGAGCCCAGGUCAGUCAGACGUUCCCCUCGCACGUCAAAGUCACCGGACAACAACGCAGCCAAAAAGGGCCGGAAGAAGACGAGCAACCUGCAGGAGACUCGGAGGAGAGGAAGAAUGGACAGAAGUAAAGGAGAAGAGGACAUAGCCAAUCAACUGAACA